AUUGAACGCUGGCGGCAGGCCUAACACAUGCAAGUCGAACGAGUGGCGGACGGGUGAGUAAUGUCUGGGAAACUGCCCGAUGGAGGGGGAUAACUACUGGAAACGGUAGCUAAUACCGCAUACCAUCGGAUGUGCCCCGAUGGGAUUAGCUAGUAGGUGGGGUAACGGCUCACCUAGGCGACGAUCCCUAGCUGGUCUGAGAGGAUAACCAGCCACACUGGAACUGGGCAACGGUCCAGAUCCCUACGGGAGGCAGCAGUGGGGAAUAUUGCACAAUGGGCGCAAGCCGGAUGCAGCCAUGCCGCGGGUAUGAAGAAGGCCUUCGGGUGGUAAAGUACUUUCAGCGAGGAGGCGUUACUCGAAGAAGAAGCACCGGCUAACUCCGUGCCAGCAGCCGCGGUAAUAC
Molecule: ribosomal RNA, 406 nt
Filed under: uncultured bacterium
Lineage: Bacteria
Description: partial 16S ribosomal RNA
Rfam family: Bacterial small subunit ribosomal RNA
Source: RNAcentral